AAGCGCUUCAAGUCAGAUAUGGCUUUGAAUGUUCAGCCUUUAGGUGUAUUCAUUUUUUGUCAGGCCAGCAUCGAUUUUGAACGUCGGAUAAGGGUAGAAAGAACGUAGCAUACUCUCGGGUAUGUGUUAUAGCUUUUUACUGGAUACGACGAUCGGGAUCGAGGUUCGCAGCACACCCUUUUUUGGGCAGGUCUUCGGACACUUUUUGUGCUUAGGAUGCUGGCGUAAUGGCUUGAAGCGA
This 241-nucleotide ribosomal RNA is filed under the name Meira nashicola. Its description in RNAcentral is "partial large subunit ribosomal RNA". The record is from RNAcentral. Lineage: Eukaryota; Fungi; Basidiomycota; Exobasidiomycetes; Exobasidiales; Brachybasidiaceae.